RNAcentral lists this ribosomal RNA (484 nucleotides) under uncultured bacterium. Its description in RNAcentral is "partial 16S ribosomal RNA". It matches the Rfam family "Bacterial small subunit ribosomal RNA", at positions 30 to 507 of the family's 1533-position model. The record is from RNAcentral.
AUUGAACGCUGGCGGCAUGCUUUACACAUGCAAGUCGAACGGCAGCACGGGGGCAACCCUGGUGGCGAGUGGCGAACGGGUGAGUAAUACAUCGGAACGUGCCCGGUCGUGGGGGAUAACGUAGCGAAAGUUACGCUAAUACCGCAUACGAUCUGAGGAUGAAAGCGGGGGACCUUCGGGCCUCGCGCGAUCGGAGCGGCCGAUGUCAGAUUAGGUAGUUGGUGGGGUAAAGGCCUACCAAGCCGACGAUCUGUAGCUGGUCUGAGAGGACGACCAGCCACACUGGGACUGAGACACGGCCCAGACUCCUACGGGAGGCAGCAGUGGGGAAUUUUGGACAAUGGGCGCAAGCCUGAUCCAGCCAUGCCGCGUGCAGGACGAAGGCCUUCGGGUUGUAAACUGCUUUUGUAUGGAACGAAAAGGCUCUGGCUAAUACCUGGGGCUCAUGACGGUACCGUAAGAAUAAGCACCGGCUAACUACGUG